Molecule: long non-coding RNA, 735 nt
Filed under: Monodelphis domestica (gray short-tailed opossum)
Lineage: Eukaryota; Metazoa; Chordata; Mammalia; Didelphimorphia; Didelphidae
Description: lncRNA (ENSMODG00000044691.1)
Source: RNAcentral
UGAUGUGAUUGGUAGAUGUGAAAAUUGAGAGGAGAGGACACAAGAGUAAAAGGUCUCUAUAUUUCGCCUCACUUCCUUUCUCCAGUACCUUUUGUGGCAGAGAGGUGGCUGGUGGCAGCGUGCUGGGCCUUUUGGCAUCUUGGUGUGGCUACAGCUAUUGUCCGGUUUAGUGGUGAGUUUCUGGCUGAGUUUUUCUUCCUUUACUUUCCAAACUUUAUCCUCUUAGAAGCCUCUAAUCUCCUUCAGAGACCUAGUGGCAGAGAUCUUGAACUCUCCCUGGCACAGGCCAGGUGGGAGAAAUCCUAUACCCUCUUCUCUCUUUUCUCUCUCUUCUCUCUCCUCUCUCUUUCUCUCUCUCUUCUCUCUUUUCUCUCUCUUCUCUCUCUUCUCUCUCUCUUCUCUCUCUGUCUUAUGUCUGUUCUCACUCCUCUCUCGCGUCUCUCUCUUUCUCUGUCUGUCUGUUCUCUGUGUUUCCUCUCUCUCUUCUCUCCCUCUGCCUGUGUCUUCUCUCUCUCUUCUCUCAUUUCUCUCUCUCUUCUCUCUCCUCUCUCUUUCUCUCUCUCCUCUCUCUCUUUCUCUCCUCUCCUCUCUUUUCUCUCUCUCUCCUCUCUCUCUCUCUCCUUCUCUGUCUUUUUCUCUCUCUCUCUCCCAGUCUCUCUUUCUCCCUCCUGUCUCUCUUCCUCUCUCUCUUAUCUCUGUCUCUCUCUUAUCUCUGUCUCUCUCUUUGUGAAAUAG